AGCAGCCGCGGUAAUUCCAGCUCCAAUAGCGUAUAUUAAAGUUGUUGCAGUUAAAAAGCUCGUAGUUGAAUUUCGGGAUCAAUACGUCGGUCGUGCCUUCGGUACGUACUGGCGUCAUUGGUUUCUCCCUUCUGACGAACCAUGAUGUCAUUAAUUUGGUGUUAUGGGAAGUUAGGACUGUUACUUUAGAAAAAUUAGAGUGUUUAAAGCAGGCAUUAGCUUGAAUACAUUAGCAUGGAAUAAUGAAAUAGGACGUUCGAACCUAUUUUGUUGGUUUCUAGGAUCAACGUAAUGAUUAAUAGGGAUAGUUGGGGGCAUUAGUAUUCAAUUGUCAGAGGUGAAAUUCUUGGAUUUAUUGAAGACUAACUACUGCGAAAGCAUUUGCCAAGGAUGUUUCAUUAAUCAAGAACGAAAGUUAGGGGAUCGAAGACGAUCAGAUACCGUCGUAGUCUUAACCAUAAACCUAUGCCGACUAGGGAUCGGAUGAUGUUUAAUUUUUAAUGUACUCAUUCGGCGCCUU
Molecule: ribosomal RNA, 520 nt
Filed under: uncultured Glomus
Lineage: Eukaryota; Fungi; Glomeromycota; Glomeromycetes; Glomerales; Glomeraceae
Description: SSU rRNA
Rfam family: Eukaryotic small subunit ribosomal RNA
Source: RNAcentral